Molecule: ribosomal RNA, 260 nt
Filed under: uncultured bacterium
Lineage: Bacteria
Description: partial 16S ribosomal RNA
Rfam family: Bacterial small subunit ribosomal RNA
Source: RNAcentral
CGAGUCGCAAGCUCGCGAGAGUAAGCUAAAUCUCUUAAAGCCGUUCUCAGUUCGGACUGUAGGCUGCAACUCGCCUACACGAAGUCGGAAUCGCUAGUAAUCGCGGAUCAGCAUGCCGCGGUGAAUACGUUCCCGGGCCUUGUACACACCGCCCGUCACACCAUGGGAGUUUGUAACGCCCAAAGUCGGUGGCCUAACCUUUAUGGAGGGAGCCGCCUAAGGCGGGACAGAUGACUGGGGUGAAGUCGUAACAAGGUAUC